This 202-nucleotide ribosomal RNA is filed under the name uncultured bacterium. RNAcentral describes it as "partial 16S ribosomal RNA". It matches the Rfam family "Bacterial small subunit ribosomal RNA", at positions 306 to 504 of the family's 1533-position model. The record is from RNAcentral.
GGUCACACUGGGACUGAGACACGGCCCAGACUCCUACGGGAGGCAGCAGGUGGGGAAUAUUGCACAAUGGGCGCAAGCCUGAUGCAGCGACGCCGCGUGGAGGGAUGGAGCCGUUCGGGUUGUGAACCUUCUUCGCAGUGAGAAGGUCCUGCUCUUUGUGGUGGGUUGACGGUAGCUGGGUAAUGAAGCGCCGGCUAACUAC